This 441-nucleotide ribosomal RNA is filed under the name uncultured bacterium. RNAcentral describes it as "partial 16S ribosomal RNA". It matches the Rfam family "Bacterial small subunit ribosomal RNA", at positions 338 to 795 of the family's 1533-position model. The record is from RNAcentral.
CCUACGGGAGGCAGCAGUGGGGAAUAUUGCACAAUGGGGGAAACCCUGAUGCAGCAACGCCGCGUGAAGGAAGAAGGUUUUCGGAUUGUAAACUUCUGUUCGUAGUGAGGAAUAAUGACGGUAGAUAAGGUGCAAGCAACGGCUAACUACGUGCCAGCAGCCGCGGUAAUACGUAGGUGGCAAGCGUUGUCCGGAAUUACGGGGUGUAAAGGGAGCGGAGGCGGGUUGCGAAGUCAGCUGUGAAAACUACGGGCUUAACUUGUAGACUGCAGUUGAAACUGGUUUUCUUGAGUGAAGUAGAGGUUGGCGGAAUUCGGGGUGUAGCGGUGAAAUGCGUAGAUAUUCGGAGGAACACCGGUGGCGAAGGCGGCCAACUGGACUUUAACUGACGCUGAGGCUCGAAAGUGUGGGGAGCAAACAGGAUUAGAUACCCCUGUAGUC